RNAcentral lists this ribosomal RNA (484 nucleotides) under uncultured bacterium. RNAcentral describes it as "partial 16S ribosomal RNA". It matches the Rfam family "Bacterial small subunit ribosomal RNA", at positions 30 to 507 of the family's 1533-position model. The record is from RNAcentral.
AUUGAACGCUGGCGGCAGGCCUAACACAUGCAAGUCGAGCGGUUGAAGGGAGUUUGCUCCUGGAUUCAGCGGCGGACGGGUGAGUAAUGCCUAGGGAUCUGCUUGGUCGUGGGGGAUAACGUCCGGAAACGGGCGCUAAUAUCGUAUCCGUUCUAAGGGAGAAAGUGGGGGUUCUUCGGACCUCACGCUAUUAGCUUAGCCUAGGUCGGAUCAGCUAGUUGGUGGGGUAAAGGCCUACCAAGGCGACGAUCAGUACCUGGUCUGAAAGGAUGAUCAGUCACACGGGAACUGGGACACGGUCCAGACUCCUACGGGAGGCAGCAGUGGGGAAUAUUGGACAAUGGGCGAAAGCCUGAUCCAGCCAGGCCGCGUGGUUGAAGAAGGUCUUCGGAUGGUAAAGCACGUUAAGUUGGGAGGAAGGGCAGGAAGGUAAUACCUUGCUGAUGUGACGUUACCAACAGAAUAAGCACCGGCUAACUUCGUG